This 35-nucleotide small RNA is filed under the name Bombyx mori (domestic silkworm). RNAcentral's name for it is "ovarian small RNA-26405". The record is from RNAcentral. Lineage: Eukaryota; Metazoa; Arthropoda; Insecta; Lepidoptera; Bombycidae.
UCAUUUGAUAUUGGCCGGUGUUAGUAGUGCUCCGG